GGCGGCCUCGGGUCCUCCCGGGGCCCGCCCGUCUGAGGGUCGGUUGG
Molecule: ribosomal RNA, 47 nt
Filed under: Bulinus nasutus nasutus
Lineage: Eukaryota; Metazoa; Mollusca; Gastropoda; Planorbidae
Description: partial 5.8S ribosomal RNA
Source: RNAcentral